This is a long non-coding RNA of Oncorhynchus keta (chum salmon), 3979 nucleotides long. RefSeq lists it as uncharacterized. NCBI's taxonomy places the organism in Eukaryota, Metazoa, Chordata, Actinopteri, Salmoniformes, Salmonidae. The record is from RefSeq and is a predicted model, not a curated record. The transcript has 4 exons.
UAAAGCCUGUAUGACAGUUUAGACACAACUGGUUACGCUUCAUCAUUUGUUUAUUUGUAAGGACAGAUCGUUGGAGAAGAUGGUUUUGCAUCGCUUACAACACCGACAAGUGAAAGUAAAUGAAUAGGUGAAUAAAUAAAGUACAUGCAACAUAUUGUAUGGGACACUUUUAAAUGUACUUUUAGAGACCAUUCAAUACAAUACUCAUAAUUAAAACAAAAGCAAUUUAGGUCAAAAUAGAUUAGACUAAUAAAGGAAAUAGAGGAAGUAACAGUGCAGGCAGAUGGUCAUGGAAAUUGUACUGUAGAGGAACAAAAUAGGCUAGAGAAAAAAAACAAAAAGAAAUGGAGGUACUUAUUAAAGAAUGAUCAAGUGUAAUGUAUUACAAAAAUAAAGUGAAUUAGAUGGAAAAUUGUGAAAAAUGCACAACAUUUCUCUUUAGUCUUCAACAUAGAAAUUCUACCGAAAAUAAUUUACAGAAACUUGUUACAAAUGAUGGAGUUAUCCAUGAUUCAAAUUAUAAUUUGAAAAAGGAAGCAAAAUAUUUUAAGCAUGUUUUCUUUUCAGUCUCCUCUAUUUGCACUGAAUGGUGUUAACUGUUAUGAUUUCUUUCCUAAUAAUAAUAAUAAUAAUUUAAAAUUAACACAUUUACAGAAAGACCUGUGUGAAUGCCAACUUACUGAAGAGGAACUUUUUGAGGCAAUAAAAUAUUUUCAGUCGGGAAAACAUCAGGGCUUGACAGUAUACCGGUAGAGUUACAUCAGAACUUUGUUUGAUGUACUCAAAUAUCCAUUAUUAGCAUAUUUGAAUUACUCCUAUACAAACGGUAGACGUUCAAGUUCUCAACAAGAAGGUGUGAUUUCAUUACUACUAAAACAGGACCCAAGUGGUAAGUAUAAAGAUCCAGUCCAUUUUAAAUAGAGGAAGCCUCUAAUGCUUCAAUGUUGUGAUGUGAAAGUCCUGGCCAAAUGCAUAGCACAUAGAAUAAAACAGGGUUUACCAUAUAUUGUUCAUUGCUGAUCAGACAGGAUUUUUACAUGGACCAUAUAUUGGAGAUCAUAUAUGAAAAUUACUUGAAACAAUUUAACAUUAUGAAACAUAGAAGAUACCAGGCUUAGUCUUCAUAGCAGAUUUUGAAAAGGCAUUUGAUAAAGUACGACUAGAAUUUAUAUAUAAAUGCCUGGAUUACUUUAAUUUUGGUGAAUCUCUUAAACAAUAGGUUAAAGUUAUGUACAGCAACCCCAGGUGUAAAAUAGUAAAUAAUGGUUACUUCCCAGAAAGUACUGAGCUUUUAAGAGGAGUCAAACAAGGCUGUCCGUUGUCUCCAUAUCUAUUUAUUAUGGCCUUUGAAAUGUCAGCUAUUAAAAUUAGAUCCAACAAGAACAUCAAGGGGUUAGAAAUCCAGGGGAUAAAAACAAAAAUGUCAAUGUAUGCUGAUGACUAGUUUUUUCUUAAGUCCGCAAUCUGGAUCCCUGCACUGUCUUAUUUAAUUUGAUUUGGAAUGCUAAGCCAGACAAAUUAAACGUGCCUAUUUAUAUAAUGAAUAUGAGUUUGGGGGGCUAAAAUGAUUAAAUAUUAGCAUUUGAAACCUUUCACUAAAAGCUUCACUAAUACAGAAAUGAUACUUAAACCCAAAAUGUUUCUCCAGUAGAUUAUUAAGAAAGGCUCAGCCUUUGUUCAAAAAUGGCCUUUUUGCUUUUAUACAGAUCACAACUUCUCAUUUCUGACUAAUUGAAAAUGACAUUUUGUUUAAAGUAUUGCCCUUUCUUAAACAAGCCAUACAAAGCUGGUUACAAUUUCAGUUGUAUCCUCAAGACAAGAUAGAAUAAACAUUACAACAAAUAUUAUGGUUAAACUCAAAUAUAGUGAUGAAUAAAAAAACAUUCUUUAUAGAUUUUCUUUUAAAUGGUAUUAUAUUUAUUAAUGAUAUUAUGAAUAGAAACGGAGGAGUUAUGUCACAUAUUUAGCUAUUGAAAAUAUAAUGGGAAUAUCUGCUCAAUCCAAAUUUACAACCAAAUGGAUGCAGUACCACAAAAAUAGAGGAGGCAAGUGGAAAAGGGAGACGGUAGGGAACUUGUUUGCCUGCCAUAUAUUAAAGAUACAAACUGGCUGAAAGGAACUGGCAUAAAUAGAAAAAUAUACCAGUUUCAUUUGAGGACAAAAAUGUUGACAGCUGCACCAUACAGGUUGCAAAAUAAAUGGGAAGAGAUUUUCGAUGUACCAAUUCCAUGACAUAUGGUUUAUGAACUGGUACACAAAACUAUACUUGAUUCAACACUUAGAGUUUUUCAAUUUAAGUUUUUAUAUAAAAUUCUUGCCACCAACAACAGAAUGCUAUAUAUAGGGAGGGGGCUUACAACAAUCUAAGCUCUGUAAAUUUUGCCUGCGAAGAGAGAGAAUUAAUAGAUAAUUUACUCUGGUAUUGCCCCCAUGUAGCUUGUUUCUGGUCACAGGUUCAAGAAUGGUUAAAAAAAUCACAACAUGCAAUUAUAAUUAACCUUACAAAUAGCAGUGUUGGGCGAUUUGGAAAGCCAUAGUUAGUCAAUAAAUAAUAUAAUAAUACUCGUAGGAAAGGUUUUCAUCUUUAGCUCACAAUUUGUGGAUACUAUACAAUUAGAAAGGUAAAAAAAGGAUCUAAAACAUCACAGGACAAUUGAUAAAUAUAUGGCACAUGGAAACCAAACAAGGGUGGUCUAUGGUGAUAGGUAGGAUGGGCUGAGAGUGGCUGAGGGUUGGGAUUAAAGAGCUGAGGUCUAUAGUGAUAGGUGGGAUGGGCUGAGAGUGGCAGAGGGGUGGGAUUAAAGAGCUGAGGUAUAUGGUGAUAGGUGGGAUGGGCUGAGAGUGGCAGAGGGGUGGGAUUAAAGAGCUGAGGUCUAUGGUGAUAGAUGGGAUGGGCUGAGAGUGGCUGAGGGUUGGGAUUAAAGAGCUGAGGUCUGGGAUUAAAGAGCUGAGGUCUAUGGUGAUAGGUGGGAUGGGCUGAGAGUGGCUGAGGGGUGGGAUUAAAGAGCUGAGGUCUAUGGUGAUAGGUGGGAUGGGCUGAGAGUGGCUGAGGGUUGGGAUUAAAGAGCUGAGGUCUAUGGUGAUAGGUGGGAUGGGCUGAGAGUGGCUGAGGGUUGGGAUUAAAGAGCUGAGGUCUAUGGUGAUAGGUGGGAUGGGCUGAGAGUGGCAGAGGGGUGGGAUUAAAGAGCUGAGGUCUAUGGUGAUAGGUGGGAUGGGCUGAGAGUGGCUGAGGGGUGGGAUUAAAGAGCUGAGGUCUAUGGUGAUAGGUGGGAUGGGCUGAGAGUGGCUGAGGGGUGGGAUUAAAGAGCUGAGGUCUAUGGUGAUAGGUGGGAUGGGCUGAGAGUGGCUGAGGGGUGGGAUUAAAGAGCUGAGGUCUAUGGUGAUAGGUGGGAUGGGCUGAGAGUGGUUGAAGGUUGGGAUUAAAGAGCUGAGGUCUGGGAUUAAAGAGCUGAGGUCUAUGGUGAUAGGUGGGAUGGGUUGAGAAUGGCUGAGGGGUGGGAUUAAAGAGCUGAGGUCUAUGGUGAUAGGUGGGAUGGGCUGAGAGUGGCUGAGGGGUGGGAUUAAAGAGCUGAGGUCUAUGGUGAUAGGUGGGAUGGGCUGAGAGUAGCUGAGGGGUGGGAUUAAAGCGCUGAGGUCUGGGAUUAAAGAGCUGAGGUCUAUGGUGAUAGGUGGGAUGGGCUGAGAGUAGUUGAGGGGUGGGAUUAAAGAGCUGAGGUCUGGGAUUAUAGAGCUGAGGUCUAUGGUGAUAGGUGGGAUGGGCUGAGAGUGGCUGAGGGGUGGGAUUAAAGCGCUGAGGUCUAUGGUGAUAGGUGGGAUGGGCUGAGAGUAGCUGAGGGGUGGGAUUAAAGCGCUGAGGUCUGGGAUUAAAGAGCUGAGGUCUAUGGUGAUAGGUGGGAUGGGCUGAGAGUGGCUGAGGGGUGGGAUUAAAGCGCUUAUGUUUGGUAAUGUAUUAUUGUUAUGUGACUGCUUUAUAUAAAAG